This is a long non-coding RNA of Ornithorhynchus anatinus (platypus), 655 nucleotides long. RefSeq lists it as uncharacterized. NCBI's taxonomy places the organism in Eukaryota, Metazoa, Chordata, Mammalia, Monotremata, Ornithorhynchidae. The record is from RefSeq and is a predicted model, not a curated record. The transcript has 2 exons.
CCUCUCCUGAAUGUCAUUGCUGCCGGGCCCUGCCUCACCUGGCCCCAUUCAGGCAGAGAGUUCCCCUAACAAACUCCCUUUUCAACCAAAAUGGCUCUCAGGUCAGUGAGCUGGUGAUUCAGCCAACAGAGAUGUGGAUGCCAGACACCCAGACAACCUUGAUGAUGCGGGGAUGAAUUAUGCUUCUCUCUUUUCUCCAAAGUAUGAGUGGGAUGAAGGAUGAGUGACAAGAAAGGCUGUCAGGGGCUAGCGGCCGGUAAGGAUGUAGAAACCAUCUGAAGGAGAGCUCACGGAGUAAUUUCAGAGCUGCAGCUGAGAGAAGGUAGUGGCGGAGAGAGACGAAGAGGAGAUCUUCAAGAUCAAUCGUAAUUUUAUCUGGCCUAUUCAAGUUUUCAUUCCCUUUUAUCCCAAACUCCCAGAUAAAAAUCUGUGCUUCAGAACGGGGCAGGGAAGAUAGCGGCUUUAUUAUAUUCUUCCAAAAGAGCCCACAGAGACCCCAGCUAUACCCUUUAUGACAUCCCUGUGACGUUCCCUUGCCUCCUCUUCUUUUUUAAUAUUUCUCCCCCUCUUCAGAAGUGAACAACAGGCACCAAACUAAUUAGGUGGUAUUUCAGAUCUAUGUUGGGUUAAUGGCACCAGAUCAUGUGUGACAUUU